AUGGUGGGUAUGCUGAAGAAGACCACUGACCUUGUGGGAUUGGCUAUGUGCAAGAAUCCACACGAGAGGCUAAGAAUAUCGCACACAAGGAUUCUUGAUGUUCUUGAGGAAAUCCCUAAAAUUGCAGCACAUAGAAAGUAUACAGAACAGAUUACAAAUGAGAAGCUGGGUUAAAGCAGAAACAGAUGUUAAAAAAUUAGACGAUAAACUUCAAGGUGGUCAUAUAGAAGAGGUGAUUCUUAAGACUGAACAUGAACUAAGUUUGGCAAGAAAAAUGGUAAAAAUGGUGCAAUGAAAACCAUGGGAGCCAUUAAUAGAAGAGCCUCCUGCUGAUCAGUGGAAAUGGUCAAUAUAAUUAUUAAGUGACUUUGAUGGUUUGAUGGGAAACUGAUACAAUGAAAUAUUCUGUUAUAUUAAGAGCCUGUUCAUAUUACUGACAUUUUAUAAUCAAGAAAAGUGACACAGAAAAUAUCUAGGAGACUAUUAAAAUUAGUGAUUAUGAUAAUACAGUCAGGUGAAUCCAUUUUUGAUUUGUAAAGUAGUCACACAAAUUAUUUCAAAGAUGAUAUUUCUACAGAGAGGUCAUGGGAAGAUUUGAAAAUUAAUUAGAAAAAUUCCUACAGAUCUUCAAUGUAGAGGCCAUAAUCAAAAAGUAAACUUUCUUUAGUAGUAUAUUUAGUACAUCAUUUAAUUUUUUUAAUUAUCCUAAAGAAGAAAAGGUCCUUAAUUAUUACGAUCUAAACAAAUUUAUAGAUCACUGUUUGAAGUAAAUAAUGAGUAAAUAUUUGCAAAUGUGAUAAAAUAGCACAAGUGGCUGGUGAUAAAAUUUGAAAUUAUGGUUAACGUCCUUAGCUGUGAUCUUACGUAUGUAAGGUAAAAUUUAAAUACAUAAUUAUAUAUUGAUUGCA
Molecule: non-coding RNA, 908 nt
Organism: Saimiri boliviensis boliviensis (Bolivian squirrel monkey)
Lineage: Eukaryota; Metazoa; Chordata; Mammalia; Primates; Cebidae
Source: RefSeq, a predicted model, not a curated record